AAGUCGUAACAAGGUUUCCGUAGGUGAACCUGCGGAAGGAUCAUUGUUGAAUAGUCGUGGUGCUGUGCUGGCCUUUCGAGGCAUGUGCACGCAUUGCAAUUAUUAUUAUCUUUUUGUGAACCAGUGUAGUCUUUUUCUUGGAGGGCCUUAUAGGUUCUGUGCGCAAGCACGGAGCUUGGGGAACUCUAAGGAGGAGUCUAUGAUUUAUAUAAACUUUUUGUAUGUCUUUGAAUGUCUUCUUUACUUGGCCGCGAGGCUAGUAAAAACUAUACAACUUUCAGCAACGGAUCUCUUGGCUCUC
This 301-nucleotide unclassified non-coding RNA is filed under the name air metagenome. RNAcentral describes it as "partial contains small subunit ribosomal RNA, internal transcribed spacer 1, and 5.8S ribosomal RNA". The stretch from base 1 to 46 matches the Rfam family "Eukaryotic small subunit ribosomal RNA", at positions 1786 to 1831 of the family's 1831-position model. The record is from RNAcentral.